This 253-nucleotide ribosomal RNA is filed under the name uncultured bacterium. RNAcentral's name for it is "partial 16S ribosomal RNA". It matches the Rfam family "Bacterial small subunit ribosomal RNA", at positions 524 to 776 of the family's 1533-position model. The record is from RNAcentral.
UACAGGGGGCUCGAGCGUUAAUCGGAAUCACUGGGCUUAAAGGGUGCGUAGGUGGCUUGCCAAGCGUCCUGUGAAAUCCCACGGCUCAACCGUGGAACCGCAGGGCGAACUGGUAGGCUUGAGGCAUGUAGGGGCAGACAGAACAGUCGGUGGAGCGGUGAAGUGCGUAGAUAUCGACUGGAAUGCCGAUGGGGAAGCCGGUCUGCUGGGCAUGUCCCGACACUGAGGCACGAAAGCGUGGGGAUCAAACAGG